CGGGUGGAGAUGAGGUUGGGGGUUUGCUGCGGCUCUGCUGUUUUUUGUUUUUUUUCUUUAAAGAGAGUUUACACCGGGCGUGGUGGUUCACGGCUGUAAUUCUACCACUUGGGACACGGAGGCGAGAUUGUGAGUUCGAGAUCAUCUUGCACCCCUCUUAUAAAGGCCUGGUCUAAUCUACAGCUGAUGUUCUGCCCAUUGUCCAGUAGAGGUCACCCUUGAGCAUCUGGAAGAGACUGGCUGUUGAGCUGUGCAAGCACUAUUCACAAUAGCCAAGUUAUGGAAACAGCCAAGAUGCCCCAGCAC
This is a non-coding RNA of Castor canadensis (American beaver), 306 nucleotides long. The record is from RefSeq and is a predicted model, not a curated record. NCBI's taxonomy places the organism in Eukaryota, Metazoa, Chordata, Mammalia, Rodentia, Castoridae.